This is a long non-coding RNA of Beta vulgaris subsp. vulgaris (sugar beet), 1108 nucleotides long. RefSeq lists it as uncharacterized. NCBI's taxonomy places the organism in Eukaryota, Viridiplantae, Streptophyta, Magnoliopsida, Caryophyllales, Amaranthaceae. The record is from RefSeq and is a predicted model, not a curated record. The transcript has 2 exons.
AAGUAAUAGAAUAAUCAAUGAUCUCAAACUAUAGGGCAACCAUUGGUUGUGCUCUAAGAAAACCACGGUCAACCGACCACCUCCCCCUACUCCCUCUUUGUUCCCUACUUCAACCUCCUCUAUGUGAACCACCAUUCAUCAUCUACCACCUUCAUUUCUUGUCUCCAAACAUCUGUCUAUAAAUGCACAGGGGAAAUGAGCUUUGAAAUCAUAAAUUCAAACCACAAAAAAAUCACAAAUUUUCUCCUCUCACUCUUCCUCUUCUCGGCACCACCGAGCCACCACCACUGUGCGCACCACCUUUGGCGCACCACCACCCUCUCACCGACGAAAUUAUGCCCGUCCCUCGCCAGCGACCCACGCCGCACCUGCAGCCCGUCGCUGCUCUCUCUCUCUCCUAUUUCCGUCGCUAACUCCCUUGCUUGGGCCCAGCAGGCUGCUGCCCUGUUUUCCCUGCUGCUGCUGGAGCUCUAAAUACCGAAGGCCGACGCGAGUCUGCUUUCGCCGCCUCCGAACUCCCGUUCCGUCGCCUGCUUUCGCGGCCUGCACCCCAGCCGGAGCUCGCCGGAGCUCAUUACCCGCCUUGCUCGUCCCUGCUCCAAGAGAGUAGAGUUACAGGUGGAGGAAUUAUGUUACGAUAUAAGAAUGAACACGGACGAAAAGGGUCAUAUGAUAAAGUUAAUAAUAUGUCCAAAGCCUGUACUUGCCAAUGAACUAUGGUCACGCAAAUGUUCCUUGUCAGCAGACUAUUCAACGAUGACGUUUUCUGAUAGUAUUUCCGAACAAUUACCAAUAUAAUGUGAUAUAUGUUUGUGCAUGAAAAUGUUUACGAACUAAAACCGUUCUUACGGGCUGGAGUGAAGUUGCUGAGUUUUCAACUCAUUUUAGGUUACUUUCUGUGUCUUCUCUUUUCUCUACUUCAUGAAAUUAUUCAGGUAUUAUAAAGAUAGCUCAGGAUCAGUUAUGUCAAGGAUGCUCCAGGAAGGCCGAGUUGAAGUGACUCUGUAUACAUGGGAGUUAACUAGAAUUCUCUGUAUUUACGGGUAAUAAUUAUUGCUAAGAGAUGAUCACUUGUAUGAUUAAGAGGCCAUUUUAGGCUAUUAUUUUA